GUUAUACACAAUAAAACAAAUUU
RNAcentral lists this small nuclear RNA (23 nucleotides) under Arabidopsis thaliana (thale cress). RNAcentral describes it as "snRNA_03348". The record is from RNAcentral. Lineage: Eukaryota; Viridiplantae; Streptophyta; Magnoliopsida; Brassicales; Brassicaceae.